CAAAGGCUUGGUCCUGACUUUUCUAUCAGCUUUAGCCCAAUUUACACAUGCAAGUCUCCGCAAGCCCGUGAGGAUGCCCUCAAUCCCCCGCCCGGGGACGAGGAGCAGGCAUCAGGCACAACUUUUGCCCAAGACGCCUUGCCAAGCCACACCCCCAAGGGAAUUCAGCAGUGAUAAAUAUUAAGCCAUAAGUGAAAACUUGACUUAGUUAGAGCUAAGGAGGGCCGGUAAAACUCGUGCCAGCCACCGCGGUUAUACGAGAGGCCCUAGUUGAUAAGCACGGCGUAAAGGGUGGUUAAGGUGAAAAAAGCAAUAAAGCUAAAGAGCCUUUUGGCCGUCAUACGCCUCUGAACGCUCGAAACCCAAUUACGAAAGUAGCUUUAAUCUCAACCCACCUGACCCCACGAAAACUGAGAAACAAACUGGGAUUAGAUACCCCACUAUGCUCAGCCGUAAACCUAGAUGUUUUUUCACAAUAAACAUCCGCCAGGGUACUACUAGCAUCAGCUUAAAACCCAAAGGACUUGGCGGUGCCUUAGACCCCCCUAGAGGAGCCUGUUCUAGAACCGAUAACCCCCGUUAAACCUCACCACUUCUAGUCACCCCCGCCUAUAUACCGCCGUCGUCAGCUUACCCUGUGAAGGACUAACAGUAAGCAAAAUGAACUCAAUUCAAAACGUCAGGUCGAGGUGUAGCGAACGAAGUGGGAAGAAAUGGGCUACAUUUUCUAACUCAGAAUAUUACGAACAGCAUUAUGAAACUAAUACUUAAAGGAGGAUUUAGUAGUAAAAAGGAAAUAGAGUGUCCUUUUGAACCCGGCUCUGAGGCGCGUACACACCGCCCGUCACUCUCCCCGCCCCAUAGCGAUUCACGUUCAUAACACUAAAGCACAAACAAGGGGAGGCAAGUCGUAACAUGGUAAGUGUACCGGAAGGUGUACUUGGAUCAAAC
Molecule: non-coding RNA, 951 nt
Filed under: Lepidocephalichthys guntea (Guntea loach)
Lineage: Eukaryota; Metazoa; Chordata; Actinopteri; Cypriniformes; Cobitidae
Description: 12S rRNA
Rfam family: Bacterial small subunit ribosomal RNA
Source: RNAcentral